GACGAACCGUGCGAACGUUAUUCGGAAUCAUUGGGCUUAAAGGGCGCGUAGGCGGCGGUGUAAAGUUGGAAGUGAAAUCCCAUCGGCUCAACCGUGGAAUUGCUCCCAGUACUGCAUUGCUCGAGGGGGAUAGGGGUUUGCGGAACUACCGGUGGAGCGGUGAAAUGUGUUGAUAUCGGUGGGAACGCCAGUGGCGAAAGCGGGCAAACUUGACCUUUCCUGACGCUGAGGCGCGAAAGCUAGGGGAGCAAACGGGGAUUAA
RNAcentral lists this ribosomal RNA (262 nucleotides) under uncultured bacterium. Its description in RNAcentral is "partial 16S ribosomal RNA". It matches the Rfam family "Bacterial small subunit ribosomal RNA", at positions 524 to 781 of the family's 1533-position model. The record is from RNAcentral.